AGCGAACGCUGGCGGCAGGCCUAACACAUGCAAGUCGAACGAACCUUUCGGGGUUAGUGGCGGACGGGUGAGUAACACGUGGGAACGUGCCUUUAGGUUCGGAAUAACUCAGGGAAACUUGUGCUAAUACCGAAUGUGCCCUUCGGGGGAAAGAUUUAUCGCCUUUAGAGCGGCCCGCGUCUGAUUAGCUAGUUGGUUGAGGUAAUGGCGCACCAAGGCGACGAUCAGUAGCUGGGCUGAGAGGAUGAUCAGCCACAUUGGGACUGAGACACGGCCCAAACUCCUACGGGAGGCAGAAGUGGGGAAUCUUGCGCAAUGGGCGAAAGCCUGACGCAGCCAUGCCGCGUGAAUGAUGAAGGUCUUAGGAUUGUAAAAUUCUUUCACCGGGGACGAUAAUGACGGUACCCGGAGAAGAAGCCCCGGCUAACUUCGUG
RNAcentral lists this ribosomal RNA (434 nucleotides) under uncultured bacterium. Its description in RNAcentral is "partial 16S ribosomal RNA". It matches the Rfam family "Bacterial small subunit ribosomal RNA", at positions 29 to 507 of the family's 1533-position model. The record is from RNAcentral.